Molecule: ribosomal RNA, 380 nt
Filed under: uncultured eukaryote
Lineage: Eukaryota
Description: partial 18S ribosomal RNA
Rfam family: Eukaryotic small subunit ribosomal RNA
Source: RNAcentral
CAAUAGCGUAUAUUAAAGUUGUUGCAGUUAAAAAGCUCGUAGUUGGAUUUGUGGCGUACGGUGUGUUCCGGGCACUUGUUGUCUGAGUAACCUGCUGUUGCCAUCCUUGGGUGGAACCUGUGUGGCAUUAGGUUGUCGUGCAGGGGAUGCCCAUCAUUUACUGUGAAAAAAUUAGAGUGUCCAAAGCAGGCUUAUGCCGUUGAAUAUAUUAGCAUGGAAUAAUGAGAUAGGACUUUUUUGCUAUUUUGUUGGUUUGCGCAAGAAGGUAAUGAUUAAUAGGGACAGUUGGGGGUAUUCGUAUUCCAUUGUCAGAGGUGAAAUUCUUGGAUUUUUGGAAGACGAACUACUGCGAAAGCAUUUACCAAGGAUGUUUUCAUUAA